RNAcentral lists this ribosomal RNA (868 nucleotides) under uncultured Acidobacteriota bacterium. RNAcentral describes it as "bacterial SSU rRNA". It matches the Rfam family "Bacterial small subunit ribosomal RNA", at positions 62 to 908 of the family's 1533-position model. The record is from RNAcentral. Lineage: Bacteria; Pseudomonadati; Acidobacteriota.
UCGAACGCGAAAGUCCCGCAAGGGAUGAGUAGAGUGGCAAACGGGUGAGUAACACGUGGGUGACCUGCCUUCGAGUGGGGGAUAACGUCCCGAAAGGGACGCUAAUACCGCAUAACAUCCUGCCUUUGAAGAGGCGGAGAUCAAAGCUGGGGACCGCAAGGCCUAGCGCUCAAAGAGGGGCCCGCGCCUGAUUAGCUAGUUGGUGGGGUAACGGCUCACCAAGGCAACGAUCAGUAUCCGGCCUGAGAGGGCGGACGGACACACUGGGACUGAGACACGGCCCAGACUCCUACGGGAGGCAGCAGUGGGGAAUUGUUCGCAAUGGGCGCAAGCCUGACGACGCAACGCCGCGUGGAGGGUGAANAUCUUCGGGUCGUAAACUCCUUUCGAUCGAGACGAACAGCCUCCGGGUGAACAAUCCGGAGGUUUGACGGUACCGAGAGAAGAAGCCCCGGCUAACUCCGUGCCAGCAGCCGCGGUAAUACGGGGGGGGCAAGCGUUGUUCGGAAUUACUGGGCGUAAAGGGCUCGUAGGUGGCCAACUAAGUCAGACGUGAAAUCCCUCGGCUUAACCGGGGAACUGCGUCUGAUACUGGAUGGCUCGAGUUUGGGAGAGGGACGCGGAAUUCCAGGUGUAGCGGUGAAAUGCGUAGAUAUCUGGAGGAACACCGGUGGCGAAGGCGGCGUCCUGGACCAACACUGACACUGAGGAGCGAAAGCCAGGGGAGCAAACGGGAUUAGAUACCCCGGUAGUCCUGGCCCUAAACGAUGAAUGCUUGGUGUGGCGGGUAUCGAUCCCUGCCGUGCCGAAGCUAACGCAUUAAGCAUUCCGCCUGGGGAGUACGGUCGCAAGGCUGAAACUCAAAGAA